GGCUCAGGAUGAACGCUGGCGGCGUGCCUAAUACAUGCAAGUCGAGCGAACGGACGAGAAGCUUGCUUCUCUGAUGUUAGCGGCGGACGGGUGAGUAACACGUGGAUAACCUACCUAUAAGACUGGGAUAACUUCGGGAAACCGGAGCUAAUACCGGAUAAUAUUUUGAACCGCAUGGUUCAAAAGUGAAAGACGGUCUUGCUGUCACUUAUAGAUGGAUCCGCGCUGCAUUAGCUAGUUGGUAAGGUAACGGCUUACCAAGGCAACGAUGCAUAGCCGACCUGAGAGGGUGAUCGGCCACACUGGAACUGAGACACGGUCCAGACUCCUACGGGAGGCAGCAGUAGGGAAUCUUCCGCAAUGGGCGAAAGCCUGACGGAGCAACGCCGCGUGAGUGAUGAAGGUCUUCGGAUCGUAAAACUCUGUUAUUAGGGAAGAACAUAUGUGUAAGUAACUGUGCACAUCUUGACGGUACCUAAUCAGAAAGCCACGGCUAACUACGUGCCAGCAGCCGCGGUAAUACGUAGGUGGCAAGCGUUAUCCGGAAUUAUUGGGCGUAAAGCGCGCGUAGGCGGUUUUUUAAGUCUGAUGUGAAAGCCCACGGCUCAACCGUGGAGGGUCAUUGGAAACUGGAAAACUUGAGUGCAGAAGAGGAAAGUGGAAUUCCAUGUGUAGCGGUGAAAUGCGCAGAGAUAUGGAGGAACACCAGUGGCGAAGGCGACUUUCUGGUCUGUAACUGACGCUGAUGUGCGAAAGCGUGGGGAUCAAACAGGAUUAGAUACCCUGGUAGUCCACGCCGUAAACGAUGAGUGCUAAGUGUUAGGGGGUUUCCGCCCCUUAGUGCUGC
This 847-nucleotide ribosomal RNA is filed under the name Staphylococcus aureus. Its description in RNAcentral is "bacterial SSU rRNA". It matches the Rfam family "Bacterial small subunit ribosomal RNA", at positions 21 to 849 of the family's 1533-position model. The record is from RNAcentral. Lineage: Bacteria; Bacillati; Bacillota; Bacilli; Caryophanales; Staphylococcaceae.